The submitters of this non-coding RNA (82 nucleotides) gave its source as unclassified sequences. The record is from Rfam.
AUAGUAAAUAAUUUAGUAGGAAAACAGCGCGAAAUUUGUUGGCUAUACCUGCAACCGUUAAAGUCGGAGAGCCACCCAGUAU